Molecule: RNA transcript, 2807 nt
Organism: Phragmites australis (common reed)
Lineage: Eukaryota; Viridiplantae; Streptophyta; Magnoliopsida; Poales; Poaceae
Gene name: NAC domain-containing protein 43-like
Exons: 4
Source: RefSeq, a predicted model, not a curated record
AGUAGCACAGGUAGCAGCAGCAAGAGCUACGCCCAACAGCCAACAGCAUGGAAUGAUGGCAGUAUCAUUCAUGGACGGAUGCAGAUCCAUCGAUCGAUCCGCUAAUUUCUCAAUCGAUCUCUGCAACCCGCCCACUAUAUAGAAGUGCCCACCCAGCUUUCCUCCCAACGCGCCCGCUUAACUUCUUCCUCCCCUGCCCUUCCCUGCGCAGCAGCUUACUUCUUCUUCUUCCCUAACUAGGUUGCACACAGAGAGAUCGAGCCAAGAACACCUAUAGACCUAGGUGCGUAGCUGUGUAGCUAGAGAUACAGCAGAGAGAUCAGGCCGGGAGGGAGAGAUCUAUCAAUGAGCAUCUCGGUGAACGGGCAGUCGUGCGUGCCGCCGGGGUUCCGGUUCCACCCGACGGAGGAGGAGCUGCUCAACUACUACCUCCGCAAGAAGGUCGCCUCCCAGCAGAUCGACCUCGACGUCAUCCGCGACAUCGACCUCAACAAGCUCGAGCCAUGGGACAUCCAAGAGAAAUGUAAGAUCGGCUCCGGGCCGCAGAACGACUGGUACUUCUUCAGCCACAAGGACAAGAAGUACCCGACGGGGACGCGCACGAACCGCGCCACGGCGGCGGGGUUCUGGAAGGCCACCGGCCGCGACAAGGCCAUCUACAACGCCGUCAAGCGCAUCGGCAUGCGCAAGACGCUCGUCUUCUACAAAGGCCGCGCCCCGCACGGCCAGAAGUUAGACUGGAUCAUGCACGAGUACCGCCUCGACGACCCCUCCGGCGACGCCGACGCCGCCACGGUCACUGCUGCUACUGCGUCGUCGGACGCCGGCCAGGAGGAUGGCUGGGUGGUGUGCAGGGUGUUCGAGAAGAAGCACCAUCACAAGGAGUCCGGAGGAGGCGGCAGCGGCAAGAACGACCACGGCGGAGGCGACCACGGGCACGGCGCCAAGGCGGCGGCGCACGGCCUGCAGUACUCCUCCAGCAACGACGCCCUCGACCAGAUGCUGCAGUACAUGGGCAAGUCGUGCAAGCAGGAGCACGAGCUUUUCUCGCCGCCGGGCGGUGGCAGUGACGUGGGGAGGGCGGUGUCGAGGUUCCCACGGCCCAUCGAGGCCGUGCUCGGCUGCCACGGGCUUACGAAGCUGCCUCCGCUCGAGAGCCCGUCUGUCACGGCGCUGACGCCGCACGUGCCCAGCGAUGCGCCGGCCGGCUCGGGCGGCGACGACCUCCACGGCGCCGGGAUCACGGACUGGGCCAUGAUGGACCGGCUCGUGGCGUCGCACCUCAACGGGUAUCCCGACGCGUCGACGGACCAGCUGUGCAGCUUCAUCGGCGGCGGCGGCGCGGACGGGCUCGCCUUCGACUCCGCCGGCGCCACGACGAGGCUGCUCGCCGGCGGCCCGGACUCCAGCGGCAGCGACGACGACCUGUGGAGCUUCGCGCGGUCGGCGGCCACGUCGACAGAACGGGCUUGCAGUACGUGGUGCCGUGGCACCUCGCCUCGUAGCAGCCGCCGCACGACCAGCCCUCGUUGAAGAGAGCGCGGUCGUCGUCUCCAGCUCGUACCCCUGCUGGAACAGGGGACGUCGUGCACAUGAUGCAUCCAUGCAUGCACAGGUGCGGUACGGUGUGGCAGUGGGUUAGAGAGUAGAGACGUGCACACGGGCGCGCACAGCUGCCGUCUCGUCCCUCCCAACGAGCACAACCAGAUCCGGCACCUCCGCCCCGGGCCGCACGUACGCUGCCCCGGGCCACACGUACGCCUCACGAAUCACGACUUGGAUCUCCUCUAUGCAUGCGAUACCGAUACAUUGUCUCGUGGGUGUCUUCUUCCUCUGGCGCCGGCAGCGGCUCGUCCAGACGUCCACCCACGACGUCGACGUCUGGAAAAUUAAGCUCGCCGUCGACGAGCAGUUGGUGAUUCUCCACGUCCAUGUCCAUGCCACGGGCGGAGUAGGCGAUUGACUCGGCCAGAGCCAUGCAACAUACGGUGCUCGAGAGAUUGCCAUGGGUCGAGCCCAGCGUAGAUUGUGUGUCAUAUUGGCUGGAAAGUAGAUGCUUUGUAGGAGGACUGUCAUUAUGGGCAUUACUGCUAGCUUACUCUGAUGGAUCUACAUACAAUACGAAAGAAAAUAAGCUACAGUUGACACUCCCAUGCUGCUUCAUAGUAGUAUCCUCAGGAUAGGUUAGUUGAAGCUUGGUCAUCAGUUACCCCUGCUGAUGCGUCAUCAACCUGCCUCCUAAUCCUAGGUUCAGACCGUGCACAGUGAUCCUCUAGUCCAAUUAAGAUCCUCGGGUUAGUCUAAUUAAGCUCCUGCGUGCGCGCGCCCUGCCAACGUCACAGGUUGGCUUGUGCACUGGCAUGCACUCAGCCGCCGUCCGAACGAGCUGCGGCAAUGCAUCGGCCACAAAGAAGACGCGCGAGCUGCAACAGCCGAGCCGAAACGAGCGAUGGCUCCCGCGGCGGCGCGGGCAGACGAUCCCAGCCCCAGGCAACGCUGCCUCAGGGCACUUGGAGCUUUAAAGAAGGCAGUUGCAGACCAGAGAGGAACACGCAUGUCAGGUGCUCAGUUUGGACUUUGGAGCAGCGGAUGCAGCCCACGAGCCUAAAGGAGACUUGUUUAACCCAUAGUCUAUUAUUUAACCGAAUGCAGAUGAGAUGGAGAAAUACCGUCUAGUAUUUAAUCAAUGUUCUAUUAGAUAUUUUGACAUCGUCUAAACUAUAGUAUACAUAGUUAUUACUGUUUUAUAAUAUUACAGGUGAGUCUUAUUGAUAAUUUUUAUAGACCAUACAUUAUAAUAUAUGUUA